GAGCUUGCUCCUGGAUUCAGCGGCGGACGGGUGAGUAAUGCCUAGGAAUCUGCCUGGUAGUGGGGGACAACGUUUCGAAAGGAACGCUAAUACCGCAUACGUCCUACGGGAGAAAGCAGGGGACCUUCGGGCCUUGCGCUAUCAGAUGAGCCUAGGUCGGAUUAGCUAGUUGGUGAGGUAAUGGCUCACCAAGGCGACGAUCCGUAACUGGUCUGAGAGGAUGAUCAGUCACACUGGAACUGAGACACGGUCCAGACUCCUACGGGAGGCAGCAGUGGGGAAUAUUGGACAAUGGGCGAAAGCCUGAUCCAGCCAUGCCGCGUGUGUGAAGAAGGUCUUCGGAUUGUAAAGCACUUUAAGUUGGGAGGAAGGGUUGUAGAUUAAUACUCUGCAAUUUUGACGUUACCGACAGAAUAAGCACCGGCUAACUCUGUGCCAGCAGCCGCGGUAAUACAGAGGGUGCAAGCGUUAAUCGGAAUUACUGGGCGUAAAGCGCGCGUAGGUGGUUUGUUAAGUUGGAUGUGAAAUCCCCGGGCUCAACCUGGGAACUGCAUCCAAAACUGGCAAGCUAGAGUAUGGUAGAGGGUGGUGGAAUUUCCUGUGUAGCGGUGAAAUGCGUAGAUAUAGGAAGGAACACCAGUGGCGAAGGCGACCACCUGGACUGAUACUGACACUGAGGUGCGAAAGCGUGGGGAGCA
RNAcentral lists this ribosomal RNA (698 nucleotides) under Pseudomonas sp. GA26-2. Its description in RNAcentral is "bacterial SSU rRNA". It matches the Rfam family "Bacterial small subunit ribosomal RNA", at positions 76 to 770 of the family's 1533-position model. The record is from RNAcentral. Lineage: Bacteria; Pseudomonadati; Pseudomonadota; Gammaproteobacteria; Pseudomonadales; Pseudomonadaceae.